Molecule: ribosomal RNA, 561 nt
Filed under: Triticum aestivum (bread wheat)
Lineage: Eukaryota; Viridiplantae; Streptophyta; Magnoliopsida; Poales; Poaceae
Description: partial small subunit ribosomal RNA
Source: RNAcentral
AUGGCGAGUUUCUACGAGGAGUUCUGGGAUGGUAAAAGGGGUGUAGAUAAAAUAGUCUGUGUGGAUUUGAGUCAUAGUAACCACUAUGUUUCUACUCCAUGUCUAUGGAAUACAUUAAAAUUUCUAUACAAUCUGGGGGUGAUUUCUCAUAUCUUAAAGGAAUUUAUAUCUCUCCCGAUAUAUAAUGCCGACACUAAACUCCAAAUUCCGCAUUCAAAUUGCAUACCAUUGAUAGGUGAAUUGAGUGACGUGCUCCUACAUCUCUUUUUUCAACAUCAAUUUGAUAGGGAGGUCCUGAGCCGGUAUGAAGGUGUUCUUUAUACAAGAUGGGACACCAAUGUCCUUCUAGCUUCAAAAUGCCAUGAUUCAUAUUGCCUUGAUUGUCGUCAAAUUCUGGACAUCUUAAGGUACGUGAAUCUAACUGGAUUUAUUUCAGUGAUAGAGCGUGGUGGCGGGGGCAUGCAUGUGAACCCUGAGAAAUCUCAGAUAUUUCUCAGUGCAGAUGGUGAUGUUAGUGUCCCUCAACUAGACGAAGGUGAGACUGACUAUGAUAGUGAUUGA